RNAcentral lists this ribosomal RNA (456 nucleotides) under uncultured bacterium. RNAcentral's name for it is "bacterial SSU rRNA". It matches the Rfam family "Bacterial small subunit ribosomal RNA", at positions 340 to 786 of the family's 1533-position model. The record is from RNAcentral.
UACGGGAAGGCAGCAGUGGGGAAUAUUGCACAAUGGGCGCAAGCCUGAUGCAGCCAUGCCGCGUGUAUGAAGAAGGCCUUCGGGUUGUAAAGUACUUUCAGUCGUGAGGAAGGUGUUAAGGUUAAUAACCUUAGCAAUUGACGUUAGCGACAGAAGAAGCACCGGCUAACUCCGUGCCAGCAGCCGCGGUAAUACGGAGGGUGCGAGCGUUAAUCGGAAUUACUGGGCGUAAAGGGCACGCAGGCGGUUAAUUAAGUUGGAUGUGAAAUCCCCGGGCUUAACCUGGGAAUGGCAUUCAAGACUGGUUAGCUAGAGUCUUGUAGAGGGGGUAGAAUUCCGAUGUGUAGCGGUGAAAUGCGUAGAGAUGUGGAGGAAUACCGGUGGCGAAGGCGGCCCCUGGGACAAAGACUGACGCUCAUGUGCGAAAGCGUGGGGAGCAAACAGGGAUUAGAUACC